Molecule: non-coding RNA, 112 nt
Organism: Acanthosepion pharaonis
Lineage: Eukaryota; Metazoa; Mollusca; Cephalopoda; Sepiida; Sepiidae
Source: the annotation of a GenBank genome assembly
UAUGGCUAUAUCAUAUUGAAACACCAGUUCUUGUAUGAUCACCUAAGUUAAGCAACAUCAAACCUGGUCAGUACCUAGAUGGGUGACCACUUGGAAACACCAGGCACUGUAA